This 430-nucleotide transfer-messenger RNA is filed under the name Patescibacteria group bacterium. It matches the Rfam family "transfer-messenger RNA". Rfam says of the family: Bacterial tmRNA, also known as 10Sa RNA or SsrA, is named for its dual tRNA and mRNA-like properties. Its role is to liberate the mRNA from a stalled ribosome. The record is from RNAcentral.
GGGGAUGAACUGAUUCGACAAGAUCGCUCAUUAACAAACUGCAAGCCGGCUUUGAUACCAGCCGUAAAACAGAUCAAAACAAUAAGUGCUAAACUUACAGCACGAGUUGUCCGACCAGCAGUUGAUGCUUUCGGACAAAUUGCAGGUGUUUUUGCACCUAUGCAAGAUGCAAGUCAACUUGCAUAUGCAACAUACGGGGCAAACUAAUGCAAUUGUCUAUGCUUUCCUCUUGAAGCGGGUAGUAUAGGCAAAAACACAGCUUCAAACCGACCGUGUGGGAUGGUUUGACACACGAGAGGAUUUCCAAACCUUGGUAUUUUGUUUCCUGUCAGCUGGUUACACAAAAUACGACAACUAUUAACUGACUACGCUUGUAGGUGUUUAUUAAUUAGUUUCUUGGACUCCAGCUCAUUACUGGACAUCUCCACAU